GAUGAAGAACGUAGCGAAAUGCGAUAAGUAAUGUGAAUUGCAGAAUUCAGUGAAUCAUCGAAUCUUUGAACGCACAUUGCGCCCGCCAGUAUUCUGGCGGGCAUGCCUGUUCGAGCGUCAUUUCAACCCUCAAGCCCAGCUUGGUGUUGGGGAUCGGCACAGGCGCCCUCGGGCGCCCGCCGUCCCCUAAAUCUAGUGGCGGUCCCGCUGCAGCCUCCUCUGCGUAGUAGUUUUCUCCUCGCAAGGGAAGCUCGGUGGCGACCUCGCCGUAAAACCCCCAACUUCUGAAAGGUUGACCUCGAAUCAGGUAGGAAUACCCGCUGAACUUAAGCAUAUCAUAAGCGGAGGA
This 349-nucleotide unclassified non-coding RNA is filed under the name soil metagenome. RNAcentral describes it as "partial contains 5.8S ribosomal RNA, internal transcribed spacer 2, and large subunit ribosomal RNA". The stretch from base 1 to 120 matches the Rfam family "5.8S ribosomal RNA", at positions 35 to 154 of the family's 154-position model. The record is from RNAcentral.